Octopus bimaculoides (California two-spot octopus) is the source of this 499-nucleotide long non-coding RNA. NCBI's taxonomy places the organism in Eukaryota, Metazoa, Mollusca, Cephalopoda, Octopoda, Octopodidae. The record is from RefSeq and is a predicted model, not a curated record.
UCCAGCACGAGCUCCCCCCUCCCUUAAACGCUUUGCAGUAAAAUAGCAAUCAAACGGACUCAGGCCCUUUGCUCUGCAAAGCCCAGAAGGACAGUGUUGGACAUUGAUAUUGUCCAAAUCUGGACUAAUCCAGACUCGCAUUGCCACAGAAAAGGAUGCGGAGAAGGAAGAGAGGUUUCCAGUGUGUCAUACCACGAAUGAAAAUGAGCAGAUCGAUUUUUUGGUCGUCUUAACAAUAAAGGGAUUCAUGAGAGAGAAAAAAAACCCCAGCAAAAACCAACGAAAAACAGGAAGGACACGACUACACAGACACAGCGCCAGAACAGGAAGAGCAUAUUUUUUAACUCACAUACCUUUCGAUGUACAUAAAUUACGCAUCGACACACCUUGACACAAACAUACACGUACAAUAGAUAUAUACUUACGUAAGAAGUAAAAAGUACAUCGGGUUUAAAAUACGGAAAACUUCUAUACAAAACUUUUAUACACACACACAUAA